Molecule: ribosomal RNA, 254 nt
Filed under: uncultured bacterium
Lineage: Bacteria
Description: partial 16S ribosomal RNA
Rfam family: Bacterial small subunit ribosomal RNA
Source: RNAcentral
UACGGGGGGAGCAAGCGUUGUUCGGAUUUACUGGGCGUAAAGGGCGCGUAGGCGGCCACCGCAAGUCGACUGUGAAAUCUCUGGGCUUAACCCAGAAAGGUCAGCCGAUACUGCGGGGCUAGAGUGCAGAAGGGGCAACUGGAAUUCUCGGUGUAGCGGUGAAAUGCGUAGAUAUCGAGAGGAACACCUGCGGCGAAGGCGGGUUGCUGGGCUGACACUGACGCUGAGGCGCGAAAGCAUGGGGAGCGAACAGG